UACAGAGGGGGCAAGCGUUGUUCGGAAUUACUGGGCGUAAAGGGCGCGUAGGCGGCCUUCUAAGUCAGACGUGAAAUCCCUCGGCUUAACCGGGGAACUGCGUCUGAUACUGGAUGGCUUGAGUUCGGGAGAGGGAUGCGGAAUUCCAGGUGUAGCGGUGAAAUGCGUAGAUAUCCGGAGGAACACCGGUGGCGAAGGCGGCAUCCUGGACCGGUAUUGACGCUGAUGCGCGAAAGCGUGGGGAGCAAACAGG
This 253-nucleotide ribosomal RNA is filed under the name uncultured bacterium. RNAcentral describes it as "partial 16S ribosomal RNA". It matches the Rfam family "Bacterial small subunit ribosomal RNA", at positions 524 to 776 of the family's 1533-position model. The record is from RNAcentral.